AGUAAAUUAUAUCCAUAUGAAAUUAAAUAGAUGAAUGUACUCUCUUCUCGCUGGAACUGGGCUUCAUAACUUUGGCACACGCAGCUUUAAAAUAAGGAAAUCGAUGAGCAAGAGAGAAUGUAUCUGACAUCAGUCACUGCAUUUAAUACAUUAAUUUCUUCACUAGAUUAAUCAGCUAUUGAUCAUCCUUCAGCUUUCCGAGAAGCUGAGCACGUGGGGGCUGCACGAGGAGCUCUGCCCACCAGAAAGCUCUGGGGUGGGGACCGAGCACUGCCAGCCCCCCCAGCAGCGCCCUAUGGGCUGAGUGCAUUGAAUGGGAGGUGAUCCCAACCACCACCAGCCCCAACAGCAGUGCCCUAUGGGCUGAGUGGCUGCACCAGAGGGCGAUCCCAGUGGCCCCAUCCCCCAGGGCUGGCAGGGCUGAGCCUGCUCUGUUUGCCCAACUGUUUUCUUGGCUUCUCAGCUGAACCUGUGGCAGAGCUCUCUGCAGUGAGCACUGUGAGAUGUGUGAAACCCUUCUGAGAUGUCCACCACCGUUAAUCAUUAAACUUCCAACGAACCCAAAGAGCUGAACUGCAGCAAACCCAAUGCACCCACAGGCAGUGGACCAAACCGGAGUGAACCCCAUGACUUCUGGCAGCCAACACGGAGCAGAGGGGCUGUGCUCUCCUUCCAGACCUGCUCAGUCCUUCUGCAAUGGCACCGUCUCCACGUUUUUGGGGGUGGUACUGAGAGCAGAAUCACACUCGGCCCUUUCACGGUGUGAGUGCAGACCUGACCUCUGCCUCCUCCACUCCAAAGUGAAGUAUCCAUAAACCAUUUGGAUGGAAAAUUGAAGUGCUUUGCACAGAAGGGGAGGGCAAGAAAUCACCAUUUGGAGACAAGCAACAGUUCGUAACCUCAGCCUGGUGAGGGCUCUGAUUUACACCCGGACUGCUUAUCUCCGUGCCAUUGCUCACCCGCUGCUUCCCCUUCCCAGCACCCUGCCAGCAGCACAGCUGUCGUCUGUCUCCAACAGAAGGAAAAAGCAAAGAGGUGGGGAAGGGAAAAAGCAACUGCAGAACCACAGUGUGAGACAGCAAAACAGAGGCGGCCGAAGCGCGUGCCCUACUUUAGGAGAUGCUGAUGCGUUCGUAACCGGAGCCGGCUGCAGGGAGCAGGGAUCCCCCCCUGCCCUGGCAUCCAUGCAGUGAGCACUACCCGGGUUUGAGGGAGAAGAUGACAAGGGUGAUAAAAUUAAUUAGCAAAGCAAUCCUCCGGCCGCACCGAGCGGCUCCGUGCGUCACCCAGCAGCGACGGCUUCAUCUCCCGGCGCAGAGGGACGCGCUGCUGCCGGAGGUUAUCACGGGGGAUGUGACAGGCACAAUUGUUUCCAUUUCACGAUUCUGCAUGACGGAGCCAGACAGGUUAUUGAAACAACAAUUUUCUGGCUAACACACGCCUGCCAGUCAAGUGAAUUAGGAAAUGCAGGCUCUGCUCACGUCCUGGGGUUAUAUUAAAUCCCAGCCCAGCUCCUGGGGCACAGAGGUCUGCGAUGUGACCCAUUGGCAGUGCGACGACCUCCGAGCGGUUGGCAAAGGGAACUGUCCCUGUGCAUACAGACAGAGCCACAGACACCCUUCAGACCGGGGGGGCUCCGUCCCCUCUGUGCACGGAGGGGCUGACAGAUAAAAGUGCCCCCGUUUGUUCGGAGCGAUGUCGUUAACCAUUAGCACAGCCGGCUGGCACAGCUCAUAAUUCAUCGCCACGGGGUCUGGUGUGGCCCUUCUGUUCCGGGGGAUGACGGGAAGGUGUUUGUUUCCAAUCACAAAAAGACUUAUUUUCUGGGACACAAACAAGGACCACAUGGCCAUCUGCACCCCGGGUCACCAAAGUGGUCCCACAGAGGACCUGCAGAGGCGAAGCAGGAGGGCUGCGUGAUUCCCAUCCAUUAAUCUCAGCCUGACGCAGCGGCCGCCCAUCGAUCUGCUCAUUCAUCAAUACCCCACUCACACCGGAGCCAUGUAAGCAGGCCAUUCAAAUUAACACAGACAGAUCUCUAAUAGUCACCGCUGCUCUCGGAAGGAACAACGCAGCUUUCUUUCCAAAUGCUGAGGCAGUAAAUUAAAAGGAUCAGUUUCUUGAUUGGACUUUUCCUGCAGCUGCGGGGGCAGCAGCCCAUGCAGGGAUAGGGGAACCACUGGGAGCAUCCUUCCCACGGCAAUGAGAUCCAAGCUCCCCUUGGGAGCAAUGGGAGCUAUCGGUGCACCACAGGGGAUGACCUGCAGCCGCAUUCUGAGCACUGCUGCUGGGAAUGAACCCCUCACCCUGCGCCCAAGAGGGGCAGAGACGAGGCUGCUCCUUUUGCUUCCCCACCAGCAGCAACGUGAGGCUGUGCUGCAGUGAAUGCUGCUCCAUUUGCUCCACUUUGAUUAUUCACCAUCCCUGUGCCAUCAGCUCUGCCCCACGGCCGUGCUGGAGAGACCCUCAGCCCCCACCCCCCAUUGCCACCCCACAGUAGCCCCGCAGCAGGGGGUGAUGCGCGGUGACGGAUAACCUCGGAGGUGCUGCGCCCGCUGCUUUUACAACGCUUAAUGAGGUAAACUAAUUGUAAAUUGCGGCAGAAUGGGAAACUUAAUGACACUUCAGCUCUUGAAAGGAGUUUAAACACCGAGGGAUUCACUAAUAUUUUUCGGCGCUGGGAAGUCGGGGGAGCUCAGAGCUUACACGGAUGGGCUUCCAUGGCCCCAAUGCUCCUCCCAUCCACCGUGGGCAGCUCAAUGAGGUCUCUGUGCCAGUGGGGACGGAGUGGCAGAGCUGCAUUUCUCAGCUGAGCUGAGCGUGUGGGGUUUUUCCAUCUGCCAUCCUCCUGGCCGAGAACUGGGGCUGAGUUUUCUGUGAGCUGAUGCAGAACCUCUCCUCGCCCUUUGAUAGACCUGGGAAGUUUUGCACAUUCAAAUAUUGACCUUUUGUAAAUCCUUUCGGGCUCCCCCGGGGCUGCGGGGAGCAGGAGCUGGCAGGACACGAGCGAGCUGAAUAUCAUUCACUUUAAGCAGCCCGGAGAUGUUCAGGGGCAUAAAACCUUUCAGAGCUCCACAUGGCAUUUUUCAACACGCUGCUUCCCUCCGGAAAGGUCAGGUGGGAGUUAAACCAGGGGCCCUUCUUCCCUCCAUCUUAAUCAGCCCAUGCACACUCUUAUCACAUCUCCCUCCUGUCUGCUGUCUGAUACAACUGAUAAUCGUUCAGAUGCUGACUCAGCUCCUCCCUCUGCCCUGUGCUGCACUGAGCAGUGCAUGCAGUGCCCGGCACACCAUCCCUGCAGCAGCAGCUCUGCUCAUUCUGCUCACUUCCUCUAUGGGCUCUGCAGCUGUCCUGUGCUGCGUGGGGUUAUCCCACACCCCCGUGGCUGCAGGUUGGACAGAGCUGGGCUGUGAGCUGCCGCGGGCUCUCAGGAUGGGGCACGGCAAUGGGAACUGAACACAGUCCACCUCUGCUCCCACUUCACACCGUGCCCAGGCCCAGGGCUUCAUUCCCAUUCUGCCCAUGAGUCAUUCCCAAAGCUGCCUCCUCGCCUCCCUCCUCCCUUCUGCUGAUUACUCAGACGGAUGUGCCAUCGUAUCACCAGUGACGAUGACGAACUGAUAUUUAGACAACUGCUUUCCAAGAGGGCCAUUCUGAGGUGUGAGCAGUGGGGUAGGAGGGGCAGGAAGGGCAAGAGGAGCAGGAGGACCCCUCUGCCGUUCAGCUCCCAGUGCCCCUCGCUCCUCUGCUGGGCAAUGUCAGU
Molecule: long non-coding RNA, 3763 nt
Filed under: Gallus gallus (chicken)
Lineage: Eukaryota; Metazoa; Chordata; Aves; Galliformes; Phasianidae
Description: lncRNA (ENSGALG00010017986.1)
Source: RNAcentral